Molecule: ribosomal RNA, 515 nt
Filed under: Phialocephala fortinii
Lineage: Eukaryota; Fungi; Ascomycota; Leotiomycetes; Helotiales; Mollisiaceae
Description: eukaryotic LSU rRNA
Rfam family: 5.8S ribosomal RNA (bases 181-334)
Source: RNAcentral
AUUGACAUGUGAGGCUACCGAACGUUGGAAACAGCGGUUAGGAGCUUACACCCACCCGUGUUUACAUACUAUUGUUGCUUUGGCGGGCCGUGGCCUCCACUAGCGGGCUCUGCUCGUGUGUGCCCGCCAGAGGACCAAACUCUGAAUGUUAGUGAUGUCUGAGUACUAUCUAAUAGUUAAAACUUUCAACAACGGAUCUCUUGGUUCUGGCAUCGAUGAAGAACGCAGCGAAAUGCGAUAAGUAAUGUGAAUUGCAGAAUUCAGUGAAUCAUCGAAUCUUUGAACGCACAUUGCGCCCUGUGGUAUUCCGCAGGGCAUGCCUGUUCGAGCGUCAUUUAACCACUCACGCCUAGCGUGGUAUUGGGGCACGCGGUCUCCGCGGCCCUCAAAAUUAGUGGCGGCGCCGGUGGGCUCUAAGCGUAGUACAUACUCCCGCUAUAGAGUUCCCCCGGUGGCUCGCCAGAACCCCCAAUUUUUUUACAGGUUGACCUCGGAUCAGGUAUGGAUACCCGCUG